GGUUCGAUGGCGUAGUUGGUUAUCGCAUCUGUCUAACACCAGCGCCUUGUACACAGAAGGUCCCCGGUUCGAGCCCGGGUCGAAUCA
This is a non-coding RNA of Lentinula edodes (shiitake mushroom), 87 nucleotides long. The record is from the annotation of a RefSeq genome assembly. NCBI's taxonomy places the organism in Eukaryota, Fungi, Basidiomycota, Agaricomycetes, Agaricales, Omphalotaceae.